Numida meleagris (helmeted guineafowl) is the source of this 2559-nucleotide long non-coding RNA. RefSeq lists it as uncharacterized. NCBI's taxonomy places the organism in Eukaryota, Metazoa, Chordata, Aves, Galliformes, Numididae. The record is from RefSeq and is a predicted model, not a curated record. The transcript is spliced from 5 exons.
UCCACUGCCUGACCAUUCUUUUGGAGAAGAAAUUUUUCCUAACAUCCAUCUGUUCAGGCUGAAGCAGAGCCCCACAGCAUUGCUGCCCCUCAUCUCUCCCACUUUCCCACAGUCUUACACCUGCAGUUCCAAUCCACUGAGUCAAGAGCUGAUAUAGCUUUGCACCGAAGACUUUGUUGAGGACUUUUGGGUUAAGAAAAUAACAAAAAUCACUCAUUUUAAGUGGAUCAUUUGACAGACCUUGUUUAAAGGGCAGCUAAACAGACAGCCAGUGAAGCACUAAUCUGGGGAAGCAGAGAAGGAGCCACACCAGCAAAGCUGCCUGGCUCAGCUGUAAGCUAUAGGACACCUGACUGCAGCCCAGCUCCAUCAGUAUUUUCCAGUGCAUGUGGAUUUGUUUUCUUUUUUCUUUUUUUUCGUUUAGGUUUUCUAAGGACACAAGUUCUGCCUCCCUGCAACCCCUUCCAAACCUUCUGCCUAAUCUCAGGUAAAUCUGAAAGGGUUUGAGCAUGGCUUGUCCCUUUAAACUGGCCUACUUGUUUUAGUGGGACACGGAGGGCACCGAGUUGAUGAACUGGACACUCAACCUAAGAAGGAAGGAAGACUUUAUCAGUUUGAUUACUCACGCAUAGCCUAUUUUAAUCCUGACUUAGAAACUUUGGGCAUGUAGACUUCAGUGUCUGCUGGUGUUUUAAAAUGCAGCAUCCUCUCUGAGGUUCCUUCUGGAAGUUGCUGAGAUGUUGUUAACUCCAUUCAUAUAUUUCUGUAUCAGACUAUAAUAAGAUUAGUUGUCUGAACAGCACAAAUGUUGCAGCCAUCUUUAGUGCAGAGAAAGAGAUAUUGACUUCAGUGCAAGGACUCAGAUAUACCACUUGCACUAUAUAAUGCCUAAUACUGCUUAAACAUGUUUUCUGUCGGGAACUCAAGACAAAGAUGACUUCUAUCUAACAUGAGAGGAAAGAAAUAACUUGCCAUCUAGAUAGGUUAUUUGCUGAUCCAUAAAUCAGAGAGGAGAACCACGCAUACUGUAUUCCUGCCUAUUCCCACAGCCUCCUUCUUGUCAUCACGGAGGUCUUUAGUAUCCUGAAAUACAGCUUGACAAUAAAAAUUAAUUGAAAGUGCACUAGAAUCAUUGACUUUUGCAGUUUCACAGUUUGCCCAUCCUUAAAUAAUGCUGGUUAUAAAAUCCUGUUUGUGCUAUAAUUCCUUGGCUCUCUGCCACGUAGCAUGUACAGAAAUCAGCAGUGUGUGCAGCAGGGACUUAGCCGGCUGUAUGAGUGCACAUAAUGGACUUUCGUCUUUAGCUCAGCAGCAAAAUACUGACUCAGAUCUAGAGACUGGUUAUAGUCCCAGUGGUGUUUACUCCAUGUAAUUAACAGUAUCAAGUGUGUUGUCUUUUGGGUAGUCUGAUUGUUUCCAUAUGCACAAGUACCUUUGGUGAAUGCACACGGGGCAAAAGACAGACAACACUCAAAGUGCACACAGAGCUGCGGGAAGCACAUAUGUUUUAAAUAUAUUAUCUCUGCAAUUAAAAGGAGAUUAUAAAUUGGUCAUAUAAAUCUUCAAGAACAGGGUCAGCGGGGAAAGGAAAAGAUCUCCUGUCUAAGGAGGCACUACAGCUAGGUAAGAGCUUGCUUUGCAGGUCCUGCCAUGGGGCAGGUAUUUCCCCACUUGCCCACUAGUGAGUGGCGUGGGUUGGUGUCUCAGGACAAGCAGGGAACCUUGCUCCUGAGCUGGGGCACGUUGCUGCGGGCAGAAGGCUGCUGGUGCUGUGCUGGGGCCCAGAGGAAGAUCAGCCGCAUUUGCGGUGGGGCGUGCCUGGGAAUGCUGCGCAACAUUAAUCUUAGGGGCAGGUACUUGUUGAAAUUCCAGUUACAGAGGGAGAUGUCUGAGGCAGAGCUGGGCCUUGCCUUCACAGCUGAAAGAGCUCUGAAGAUUCAGGGUGACAUUAAACACUAAGUCCCCCCUCUCCACGGAUGCAAGCAUGUGUGUACCAUGUGCUGAAGCACUCACAGGAGCAGAGCAGAAGCACAGGCGGCGCUGCCUUAGCGAUGGAAAGCAGGCAUUUCACUGUUGAUGUUCCACAGUCGUACGGCUGACGGUUACUAGGGGAUCCUGAAGGAUGUGUUUCCCUGUGACCCUUUGAGAAGAAAAACUUAGUUGCCGCAGUAACCAAGUUUGGCUUGGAUGCAAUGAUGCAGUAAAUAUCAUAGCUUUUUUCCAGAGUUGUUUUUCCUAAAGCACUGGUUGGAAGAAAAUCUGGGUUGCUGUAUGUGGGACCAAUUCUGCUUGCAGCCUGAGCAUCAGCAGGGGAGCACUGAGCAGUCAGACCCGCAUCAGGAGUGAGGAGAUGCACCAUGUGUCAGUGCAGGCCGCGCAGCAGCAGAUAGGCCCUCUGAAGUCUGCAGAAAGGGUUUAUGGAUGAGACAUGACCGGCAGAGAGCACGCAGGAUCAUUGUUAAGAGCAGAUCACCAGAGUUCUGUAGAGACUGUCACAAAACACAAGGCUGUUUUAUGUUCAGGUUAAUAAUUCAUAGAACCUUGUGAUAUUCAGAAGCA